Molecule: ribosomal RNA, 250 nt
Filed under: uncultured bacterium
Lineage: Bacteria
Description: partial 16S ribosomal RNA
Rfam family: Bacterial small subunit ribosomal RNA
Source: RNAcentral
GACGGAGGGUGCAAGCGUUGUUCGGAUUGACUGGGCGUAAAGGGCGUGUAGGCGGUCGGUCAAGUCUGAUGUGAAAGCCCGAGGCUCAGCUUCGGAAGGGCAUCGGAAACUAGCCGGCUAGAGCGCGAUAGAGGAGGGUGGAAUUCCUGGUGUAGCGGUGAAAUGCGUAGAUAUCAGGAGGAACACCGGCGGCGAAGGCGGCCCUCUGGAUCGUUGCUGACGCUGAGAGCGCGAAAGCUAGGGGAGCAAA